UGCUUGCCAAUAUUGAUGGCUCGAACGAAGGGUAUCUCCGGAAUCUUACUUUUAUGGUAUUUCAACUUGCAGCUCUUUUACUUCUCUCUUGGCGACACGUGUUUAUUCAGCUGACUUUCCACCUCCGUUUCCAUCACCAUUCUAACACUCCAUCAAACGGCCAUGGAGGCAAAAGCAACAGCAUAGUGUGAAAGUUUUAUGCAACUGGGCUUCUAUUUGCUGUGACAAUAGGGGCGUCAUUUAAAAGCUGCUGAAUCUUAUUCCAGAAUGGUUUAUUCCACCUAAUUGUGCCACGGGAACUAGCACUCGUGCGGAGGCUUUUCUCUAAUGAGUAACGCUCUUUCAUAUGUGACAGGUAUUGGUGUCAAGGGUGUUAGCAAAAAAGCUCUUUUGUGAAUGAGGGAAGUCCCUCUUUUGCUUGAGGUGGCGGGGCGCUGAGUUUGCUGGCUAUGGUUUCUUCUUAUUAAAACUGGGUGAUUUUGUAGGUUUGGUUGAUCAAUGGUAAAUGUCGUGCCAAAAGAAAAUGUAGGUAAAUAUUACUGUGGCUAUUAUUUUAUAGUGCUCUACACUUAUCAUGUCAAGAAAAUUUUUUAUAAUUAUGAUGAUAGAUUAAAUGAUGAGAUUGUUAUGAAUUUUACAUAUUUAUGGUUCUUUGGAUCGGAUCAACACUUAAUUGAAUGCAGGACGAGUUAGUGUAACAAUUCAAGGUCGGAUAACUCAUUGCAUAAUCUGCCGUUUUCGGAACUUCAAGUUGUAAUUAUUAAUGCAGCUCAAAUAAGACUAUAAUAAAGUGUCAAACUGGAUUAUUCAGCAAAUGUCAAAGUCAGGAAUGCAACAACAAGUGGAAACAAAACUAUCGUAAGACAACUAGCUGAAUUGUCCCUUAUGAAUUAACUUGAAAAGGUUCCUUCUUCUUUUUCGUAUAUUUUCAUUUUCUCUUUGCAUUCUUUGGGUCCAUAAUUCCUUCCUUACGUCCCUUACGAUCACAGUUUGAAGAAUAUCUAGCCAUUUUUGCAAGUAGUAGAAAUUGAGGAAAGUUGACAUAUAAUGGGCACUCACAUUUCUCGUCUUAAUAAACAUAGAGAUUUUAUUCCUGCUUGCCGUAUGAUAUACAAUUUGUUUCUCGGGGGAUAGACGCCAGAAAACUUGUUUAGGUAGGACAUUUUUGUUCUGAUGUAAUAGAGCACUUUGGUGUCUACAUAAAAUUACCUAAUAUGUUUCUAAAAUGUUUUGGCUCAAGGUCGGGGUCAGGCAAGUGUUCCUUUUGUUAGAGUGACCAGUCAUUAAUCAGGCUAAAAUUAAUAAGAUCAUCGUAAUUGUAACACCCCGUAUUUUCGGGCUAGAAUUUAGACCAUCGUUCCUACACGUAUAGAUCCAAACUAAGAAAUUCCUUGUUAAUAUAUGUGUGUUUAUCAGUCCUAAAGUGUAGGAAUACCUUCGAGUAUGAUUUGGGGUCACAAAAAUCCCCUAAAUCUAAGACACGUUGAAAGCAUUUCUAUCGAUUAAGUUUUAGGAGAUGUUUCAACUUGAGUCAACUUCCAGUGACCAUAACUCCCAAUAUAUAUAAAGUUAGAGGCCUACUAUAUAUCAAAUUAAAGGUAUUCAAAUUAGCUUUCCAACAAUACUAAUUUCGCCUUAAUCCAAUACCCGAGUGAAAAGUUAUGACAUUUUUCGUGAGAGGCAGUAAGGGUGUGCGAU
Capsicum annuum is the source of this 1698-nucleotide long non-coding RNA. RefSeq lists it as uncharacterized. The record is from RefSeq and is a predicted model, not a curated record. NCBI's taxonomy places the organism in Eukaryota, Viridiplantae, Streptophyta, Magnoliopsida, Solanales, Solanaceae. The transcript has 3 exons.